UUUAUUUUAGUAUAAAAGUACAAAAAUUUUUGAAAUUUUCAGUUAUAGUUUAAACCUAUAAAAUCGGA
This 68-nucleotide transfer RNA is filed under the name Opimothrips tubulatus. Its description in RNAcentral is "tRNA-Gln". The record is from RNAcentral. Lineage: Eukaryota; Metazoa; Arthropoda; Insecta; Thysanoptera; Thripidae.